CUCCAGACUCCUACGGGAGGCAGCAGUGAGGAAUAUUGGUCAAUGGCCGAGAGGCUGAACCAGCCAAGUCGCGUGAGGGAUGACGGCCCUACGGGUUGUAAACCUCUUUUGUCGGGGAGCAAAGAGAGUCACGUGUGGCUCAUUGAGAGUACCCGGAGAAAAAGCAUCGGCUAACUCCGUGCCAGCAGCCGCGGUAAUACGGAGGAUGCGAGCGUUAUCCGGAUUUAUUGGGUUUAAAGGGUGCGUAGGCGGGAUGCCAAGUCAGCGGUAAAAAUGCGGUGCUCAACGCCGUCGAGCCGUUGAAACUGGCGUUCUUGAGUGGGCGAGAAGUAUGCGGAAUGCGUGGUGUAGCGGUGAAAUGCAUAGAUAUCACGCAGAACUCCGAUUGCGAAGGCAGCAUACCGGCGCCCUACUGACGCUGAGGCACGAAAGCGUGGGUAUCGAACAGGAUUAGAUACCCCUGUA
RNAcentral lists this ribosomal RNA (465 nucleotides) under uncultured bacterium. Its description in RNAcentral is "bacterial SSU rRNA". It matches the Rfam family "Bacterial small subunit ribosomal RNA", at positions 329 to 792 of the family's 1533-position model. The record is from RNAcentral.